RNAcentral lists this ribosomal RNA (845 nucleotides) under uncultured bacterium. RNAcentral's name for it is "bacterial SSU rRNA". It matches the Rfam family "Bacterial small subunit ribosomal RNA", at positions 12 to 812 of the family's 1533-position model. The record is from RNAcentral.
UUUGAUCCUGGCUCAGGAUGAACGCCCCUUUUUGUGGCUAAUACAUGCAAGUCGUACGCACUGGCCCAACUGAUUGAUGGUGCUUGCACCUGAUUGACGUUGGAUCACCAGUGAGUGGCGGACGGGUGAGUAACACGUAGGUAACCUGCCCCGGAGCGGGGGAUAACAUUUGGAAACAGAUGCUAAUACCGCAUAACAACAAAAGCCGAAUGGCUUUUGUUUGAAAGAUGGCUUUGGCUAUCACUCUGGGAUGGACCUGCGGUGCAUUAGCUAGUUGGUAAGGUAACGGCUUACCAAGGCGAUGAUGCAUAGCCGAGUUGAGAGACUGAUCGGCCACAAUGGAACUGAGACACGGUCCAUACUCCUACGGGAGGCAGCAGUAGGGAAUCUUCCACAAUGGGCGCAAGCCUGAUGGAGCAACACCGCGUGAGUGAAGAAGGGUUUCGGCUCGUAAAGCUCUGUUGUUGGAGAAGAACGUGCGCGAGAGUAACUGUUUACGCAGUGACGGUAUCCAACCAGAAAGUCACGGCUAACUACGUGCCAGCAGCCGCGGUAAUACGUAGGUGGCAAGCGUUAUCCGGAUUUAUUGGGCGUAAAGCGAGCGCAGGCGGUUGCUUAGGUCUGAUGUGAAAGCCUUCGGCUUAACCGAAGAAGUGCAUCGGAAACCGGGCGACUUGAGUGCAGAAGAGGACAGUGGAACUCCAUGUGUAGCGGUGGAAUGCGUAGAUAUAUGGAAGAACACCAGUGGCGAAGGCGGCUGUCUGGUCUGCAACUGACGCUGAGGCUCGAAAGCAUGGGUAGCGAACAGGAUUAGAUACCCUGGUAGUCCAUGCCGUAAACGAUGA